AUUGAACGCUGGCGGAAUGCUUUACACAUGCAAGUCGAACGGCAGCACGGGUGCUUGCACCUGGUGGCGAGUGGCGAACGGGUGAGUAAUACAUCGGAACGUACCCAGUCGUGGGGGAUAACGUAGCGAAAGUUACGCUAAUACCGCAUACGUCCUGAGGGAGAAAGCGGGGGACCGUAAGGCCUCGCGCGAUUGGAGCGGCCGAUGGCGGAUUAGCUAGUUGGUGGGGUAAAGGCCUACCAAGGCGACGAUCCGUAGCGGGUCUGAGAGGACCGCCCGCCAAACUGGAACUGGGACACGGUCCAGACUCCUACGGGAGGCAGCAGUGGGGAAUUUUGGACAAUGGGCGAAAGCCUGAUCCAGCCAUUCCGCGUGAGUGAAGAAGGCCUUCGGGUUGUAAAGCUCUUUCGGCAGGGAAGAAACGGCUUGGGAUAAUACCCCGGGUUAAUGACGGUACCUGAAGAAGAAGCACCGGCUAACUACGUGCCAGCCGCCGCAGUAA
RNAcentral lists this ribosomal RNA (502 nucleotides) under uncultured bacterium. RNAcentral describes it as "partial 16S ribosomal RNA". It matches the Rfam family "Bacterial small subunit ribosomal RNA", at positions 29 to 523 of the family's 1533-position model. The record is from RNAcentral.